UGUGAAUAGAUGUUCAGUGUGAAGAAUAUGGUAUUUGACACUCUUUGUAUAUAUUAAACAUGCUAUUGUGUAAUGGAAAUGAUCAAAUAAAGUUAUUUAUGCAACAGUCCUUGCAUUCAAACACCUUAUUUGUAUUUUUCUUGUUCAUGCUUGAGCAUCAGCCUCAGGAUAAGCAAAUUUCAAAGGAUUUGUUAGGGCAUAUUGACCCAACUAUAUUGGGUCAAUAGGAAAGAUUCAAACUCCCACAGCCGUGACAGUGUAGAGGGGAGAUCCACUAGUAAAAUGUGCUAGAAUAUCUAAGGGAGGUGA
Paramuricea clavata is the source of this 309-nucleotide non-coding RNA. The record is from the annotation of a GenBank genome assembly. NCBI's taxonomy places the organism in Eukaryota, Metazoa, Cnidaria, Anthozoa, Malacalcyonacea, Plexauridae.